GGCAAUCUGACUUGAUGAUGCUGAAGUUUUUUAUGGUAAUGCACAAAUGGUUGGUAAGUACCUGAAAAUUUCAAGUUAUUUUAAUACUGUUUCCAUUUUCACUCAUCAGAAUUUUUUACGUAUUUUAUGCAAUCGUACUUGUCAAAUGAAGUUUUCAUUUUAUGAUGAUCUUGAUGCCAACUACAUUUCCAACUCUUUUAAGUUUUUGAACUCUUGCGAGUGAAAGUCAAUGAGAAGAAGUUUAUGACCUUUUCCAACGAUCAAUUCAAUUUGCUUCUAAGGAUAUAACAUUAGUCUUAACUUAUUUCAAGUAGCAGAUAUGAUUCUAUCUUUCUUCUGUUGUUUUUUCGGAGGCCAAGGUUGCUCACAUUCCUUGAGUUGACAUAGAAGGAAGCAUAAGGGAAGCUCUGAGACAAUCUACAUCAAAAUGUUCACCCACUCUUUCACAGUUUGGAAUGUACUACACUGCCUUCAAAAUGGACUUUUCGAAUCAAAAGGCAGAAAGGUAAUUAUACAGGGUUCAAAAGUCGGUUAAAAGUUAGUUUAAAAGCUUC
Molecule: long non-coding RNA, 554 nt
Filed under: Citrus maxima (pomelo)
Lineage: Eukaryota; Viridiplantae; Streptophyta; Magnoliopsida; Sapindales; Rutaceae
Description: long non-coding RNA (CMAX_LNC000695)
Source: RNAcentral